AACGAACGCUGGCGGCAUGCCUAACACAUGCAAGUCGAACGCCCCGCACGGGGAGUGGCGGACGGGUGAGUAACACGUGGGAACCUUCCCUAUAGUACGGAAUAUCCCAGGGAAACUUGGAGUAAUACCGUAUACGCCCGAAAGGGGAAAGAAUUUCGCUAUAGGAUGGGCCCGCGUAGGAUUAGCUAGUUGGUGAGGUAAUGGCUCACCAAGGCGACGAUCCUUAGCUGGUUUGAGAGAACGACCAGCCACACUGGGACUGAGACACGGCCCAGACUCCUACGGGAGGCAGCAGUGGGGAAUAUUGGACAAUGGGCGCAAGCCUGAUCCAGCCAUGCCGCGUGAGUGAUGAAGGCCUUAGGGUUGUAAAGCUCUUUUGGCGGGGACGAUAAUGACGGUACCCGCAGAAUAAGUCCCGGCUAACUUCGUG
RNAcentral lists this ribosomal RNA (430 nucleotides) under uncultured bacterium. Its description in RNAcentral is "partial 16S ribosomal RNA". It matches the Rfam family "Bacterial small subunit ribosomal RNA", at positions 29 to 507 of the family's 1533-position model. The record is from RNAcentral.